AACGAACGCUGGCGGCAUGCCUAACACAUGCAAGUCGAACGAGACCUCCGGGUCUAGUGGCGCACGGGUGCGUAACGCGUGGGAACCUGCCCUUAGGUUCGGAAUAACUCCCCGAAAGGGGUGCUAAUACCGGAUAAUGUCUUCGGACCAAAGAUUUAUCGCCUUUGGAUGGGCCCGCGUUGGAUUAGCUAGUUGGUAGGGUAAAAGCCUACCAAGGCGACGAUCCAUAGCUGGUCUGAGAGGAUGAUCAGCCACACUGGGACUGAGACACGGCCCAGACUCCUACGGGAGGCAGCAGUGGGGAAUAUUGGACAAUGGGCGAAAGCCUGAUCCAGCAGUGCCGCGUGAGUGAUGAAGGCCUUAGGGUUGUAAAGCUCUUUUACCCGGGAUGAUAAUGACAGUACCGGGAGAAUAAGCUCCGGCUAACUCCGUG
This 433-nucleotide ribosomal RNA is filed under the name uncultured bacterium. Its description in RNAcentral is "partial 16S ribosomal RNA". It matches the Rfam family "Bacterial small subunit ribosomal RNA", at positions 29 to 507 of the family's 1533-position model. The record is from RNAcentral.